GAUGAACGCUAGCGGGAGGCCUAACACAUGCAAGCCGAGCGGUAGAGUUCCUUCGGGAACUUGAGAGCGGCGUACGGGUGCGUAACACGUGUGCAACCUACCUUUAUCUGGGGGAUAGCCUUUCGAAAGGAAGAUUAAUACCCCAUAAUAUAAUGAUUGGCAUCAAUUAUUAUUGAAAACUCCGGUGGAUAGAGAUGGGCACGCGCAAGAUUAGAUAGUUGGUGAGGUAACGGCUCACCAAGUCAAUGAUCUUUAGGGGUCCUGAGAGGGAGAUCCCCCACACUGGUACUGAGACACGGACCAGACUCCUACGGGAGGCAGCAGUGAGGAAUAUUGGACAAUGGGUGAAAGCCUGAUCCAGCCAUCCCGCGUGAAGGAUGACGGUCCUAUGGAUUGUAAACUUCUUUUGUACAGGGAUAAACCUACUCUCGUGAGGGUAGCUGAAGGUACUGUACGAAUAAGCACCGGCUAACUCCGUG
This 479-nucleotide ribosomal RNA is filed under the name uncultured bacterium. RNAcentral's name for it is "partial 16S ribosomal RNA". It matches the Rfam family "Bacterial small subunit ribosomal RNA", at positions 28 to 507 of the family's 1533-position model. The record is from RNAcentral.